CCUCCCCCUUUUUUUACAAAAACAUGGUCUUUUGUUUAUAUAAAAGAUCUGACCUGCCCUGUGAUUAUAUUUUAAAUGGCUGCAGUAUUUUGACUGUACAAAGGUAGCAUAAUCAUUUGUCUUUUAAUUGGAGGCUAGUAUGAAUGGUUGGAUGAGAAAUAUACUUUCUUUAUUUUAUAUUAAAAAAUUAAUUUUUUAGUCAAAAAGCUAAGAUUUUUUUAUAGGACGAGAAGACCCUAUAGAACUUUAUUUACUUUUUAUAUAAACUUUUUGGAUUUUUAUAAGAUUAUAUAUUAAUGUUAAUUUAAUUGGGGUGAUGGAAAAAAUUAUAUAACUUUUUCUAUUUUUUACAUUUAUUUAUGUAUAAUUGAUCCUUUAAUACGGAUAAUAAGAUUAAGUUACCUUAGGGAUAACAGCGUUAUUUUUUUGGAGAGUUCUUAUCGAUAAAAUAGUUUGCGACCUCGAUGUUGGAUUAAAAUAAGUAUCAGGGGUAGAAUAUUGAUUACUAGGUCUGUUCGACCUUUAAAUUUUUACAUGAUCUGGUUUCAACCGGGAAGG
RNAcentral lists this ribosomal RNA (558 nucleotides) under Philostephanus glaber. RNAcentral describes it as "partial small subunit ribosomal RNA". It matches the Rfam family "Bacterial large subunit ribosomal RNA", at positions 1793 to 2630 of the family's 2925-position model. Lineage: Eukaryota; Metazoa; Arthropoda; Insecta; Hemiptera; Miridae. The record is from RNAcentral.